This 460-nucleotide ribosomal RNA is filed under the name uncultured bacterium. RNAcentral describes it as "partial 16S ribosomal RNA". It matches the Rfam family "Bacterial small subunit ribosomal RNA", at positions 338 to 795 of the family's 1533-position model. The record is from RNAcentral.
CCUACGGGUGGCAGCAGUGAGGAAUAUUGGUCAAUGGGCGUAAGCCUGAACCAGCCAAGUCGCGUGCGGGAUGAAGGUUCUAUGGAUCGUAAACCUCUUUUAUAAGGGAAUAACGUGCGGGACGUGUCCCGCUUUGUAUGUACCUUAUGAAUAAGGAUCGGCUAACUCCGUGCCAGCAGCCGCGGUAAUACGGAGGAUCCGGGCGUUAUCCGGAUUUAUUGGGUUUAAAGGGUGCGUAGGCGGCCUUUUAAGUCAGCGGUGAAAGUCUGUGGCUCAACCAUAGAAUUGCCGUUGAAACUGGGGGGCUUGAGUAUGUUUGAGGCAGGCGGAAUGCGUGGUGUAGCGGUGAAAUGCUUAGAUAUCACGCAGAACCCCGAUUGCGAAGGCAGCCUGCCAAGCCAUGACUGACGCUGAUGCACGAAAGCGUGGGGAUCAAACAGGAUUAGAUACCCCUGUAGUC